AGACGANGGUAAGUGGUGUAGCAAUAUAUCACCAAGAGUGUCGUAAGGGUGCGUAACACGUAUGCAAUCUGCCCCCAACAGGAGGAUAGCUCGGGGAAACUCGAAUUAACCCUCCAUAAGAUCACGCGAGGGCAUCUGAAAGUGAUUAAAACUGAGGUGGUUGGGGAUGAGCAUGCGUCUGAUUAGCUAGUUGGUAGGGUAACGGCCUACCAAGGGGAUGAUCAGUAGGGGAACUGAGAGGUUGAUCCCCCACACUGGCACUGAGAUACGGGCCAGACUCCUACGGGAGGCAGCAGUAGGGAAUAUUGGACAAUGGGUGCGAGCCUGAUCCAGCCAUGCCGCGUGCAGGAAGAAGGCCUUCUGGGUUGUAAACUGCUUUUAUCUGGGGAUAAAAAGAGCGUGCGCGCUCAAUUGAAGGUACCAGAGGAAUAAGCCACGGCUAACUACGUGCCAGCAGCCGCGGUAAUACGUAGGUGGCAAGCGUUGUCCGGAUUUAUUGGGUUUAAAGGGUGCGUAGGCGGCUUUGUAAGUCAGCAGUGAAAUACGCCAGCUUAACUGGAGAGGUGCUGUUGAUACUGCGGAGCUUGAGUACUGAUGAGGUAGGCGGAAUGGACGGUGUAGCGGUGAAAUGCAUAGAUAUCGUCCAGAACACCGAUAGCGAAGGCAGCUUACUAAGGAGUAACUGACGCUGAGGCACGAAAGUGUGGGGAUCAAACAGGAUUAGAUACCCUNNAGUCCACACUGUAAACGUUGAUCACUCGAUGUUGGCGAUACACUGCCAGCGUCUUANCAAAAGCGAUAAGUGAUCCACCUGNNNAGUACGCCNGCANCGGNG
RNAcentral lists this ribosomal RNA (835 nucleotides) under uncultured bacterium. RNAcentral's name for it is "bacterial SSU rRNA". It matches the Rfam family "Bacterial small subunit ribosomal RNA", at positions 60 to 896 of the family's 1533-position model. The record is from RNAcentral.